CGAAUGGGGAGAUUCAUCGUCAGCUCAUUUUGUAUAUGUAUAAGUUAUGAUGCGGGUUACUACUUGUAGUAUUGCCUGCACAUUCUUGUAUAUUUAGUUCCAAGAUGUUGUCGGCGUCCACUUCUCCCCUAGUAGGACGUCGCGCCCUGUUGGGUGUCGGUCUACGGCCCAAGUGAUACCCUUUAAUGUAAUUUAAAAAACAUUGAAGACCCUUGGUGUUUUCUGACCGGCUACUUGGCAGUAUUCGUACGGUAUUUAGCCGCUAAAUUUAUUAAGCGUCCAUAUCCAUCACAAGCGAGGCUAAUUUACUGAUAGUACGGACCUAGUGCCGUCGUUGGUA
Molecule: ribosomal RNA, 340 nt
Filed under: Aleiodes sp. HD-207
Lineage: Eukaryota; Metazoa; Arthropoda; Insecta; Hymenoptera; Braconidae
Description: eukaryotic LSU rRNA
Source: RNAcentral